CGCGCCUCCGGUGACCCCCACGAGCCUCUGGAUCGAUAAUGUUUAUCUUCUCUGCUAAUUAGCUGGAGUAGCAAGAAGUUUUCACGAUCUGUUUGUUAGUGUAAGGCGUUUAUGUUUAAGAGUCUGUGGCAAUGCGUUGUACUAGUAUAUACUAAAAGAAAUAUAAGGGGUACCGAGAGGAGGCUUCACGUUGAUCCACAUCAUCAGAAUUAUACGGGCCGUUGGAUAUGAGAGUUGUAGCAACGCAACCGUUAGAUCUACAUGACACAUAAAAUUUUCUUUUAAAUCAUGUGAACGUGAAACAAUCUGAUCUCUCCGGCCUCCCCUAUAUCUUGAGGGUUAAUUGGAUCUAUGCCACUCUCUAUUUCACCGGUUGGAGAUAUGCCAUUAUAAAAAAUUGAUUUGGAGAAAUACCACUCUAACUUUCUUAUACCUCUAUCAAUGCCAUUCUGUCCACUUAAGACCAAUAAGUGUUCAUAAAAUACAUGUAUUUCAACGUGUACAAUAGUAUUUACCAUAAUACCCCUAUUUACAAUGUUCAGCAGUACGUUCGAGUCUUCCAGGGGCCAUAAAGGUUAUUUCUUUUUCCAAAUUUGGCCCAAAAUUUCAAUGUUCUCAGAAAAGUCUAAAAAUUAUAAAAAAUAAAAAAAAGUAAUAUGAGUCCACCGUUGGGGACGGGAUAUGAGGAGCGCGUGGGAAUAAGAGGAAUAUAACUGUUUGACUUGGAAUGAGAAAAAAAAUUGUUCGUAUAGAGUUAUGUAUAUACGUAUUUAGACCAGUAUACGUGCUGGUAUUGGACAAAAUGGCAAGAAUAGAGGUAUGAAAAAGUUAGAGUGGCAUUUCUCCAAAUCAAGUUUUUUAAUGGCAUAUUUCCAACCGGUGAAAUAGAGAGUGGCAUAGAUCCAAUUAACCCAUAUCUUUAACCUUAACUAACUCCGACAGUAUAUAUCUUUUUCUUCCAAAAAAAAUCGUACUAUUUUUAACUUGGCCGCAAUGCCCUGAAGGUAAAUCCCAAGCCCCCCUCGGCCCCUCCCCAUCGCACAUCACAUCGUGUCCUCCACCGAUCUCUCCGGCCUCCCCGUCCGAGGAGAGCUAGCUCGCGAGCCAUGAGAGGAAGAGGCGCUUAGGACGGCGGCCGGGCUAAAGGUCUUUGUAAUCUAAGACACAUAAUGGUUCCUGUACGGAUGGUCC
RNAcentral lists this long non-coding RNA (1191 nucleotides) under Brachypodium distachyon (stiff brome). Its description in RNAcentral is "long non-coding RNA (BDIS_LNC003938)". Lineage: Eukaryota; Viridiplantae; Streptophyta; Magnoliopsida; Poales; Poaceae. The record is from RNAcentral.